Non-coding RNA from Gossypium raimondii (Peruvian cotton), 114 nucleotides. The record is from Rfam. Lineage: Eukaryota; Viridiplantae; Streptophyta; Magnoliopsida; Malvales; Malvaceae.
GAGCCGUGCUGUGAGCACAGAGCGAACUAUUCUUUCGCCUUUUACUAAAGAAUACCGUGUGCUCCUAAAGCGGCAUACGCCUAAUUUUGGAUGGUUGUUUCGUUACUGGAAUGA